GUUGCGCCCCGACUUGAGCGGAGCUCUUUUUCUUUUUUAAAGAAAAAAGCGGGAGCGGAAGGCGGAUAAAGGC
RNAcentral lists this unclassified non-coding RNA (73 nucleotides) under Epilithonimonas zeae. RNAcentral's name for it is "Chryseobacterium zeae Flavo-1 RNA". Lineage: Bacteria; Pseudomonadati; Bacteroidota; Flavobacteriia; Flavobacteriales; Weeksellaceae. The record is from RNAcentral.